UUCGUCACACUAUCAUUAACUGAAUCCAUAGGUUAAUGAGGCGAACCGGGGGAACUGAAACAUCUAAGUACCCCGAGGAAAAGAAAUCAACCGAGAUUCCCCCAGUAGCGGCGAGCGAACGGGGAGGAGCCCAGAGCCUGAAUCAGCAUGUGUGUUAGUGGAAGCGUCUGGAAAGGCGCGCGAUACAGGGUGACAGCCCCGUACACAAAAGCGCAUGUGCUGUGAGCUCGAUGAGUAGGGCGGGACACGUGGUAUCCUGUCUGAAUAUGGGGGGACCAUCCUCCAAGGCUAAAUACUCCUGACUGACCGAUAGUGAACCAGUACCGUGAGGGAAAGGCGAAAAGAACCCCGGCGAGGGGAGUGAAAAAGAACCUGAAACCGU
Molecule: ribosomal RNA, 382 nt
Filed under: Salmonella enterica subsp. enterica serovar Derby
Lineage: Bacteria; Pseudomonadati; Pseudomonadota; Gammaproteobacteria; Enterobacterales; Enterobacteriaceae
Also listed under: 3 other names
Description: partial 23S ribosomal RNA
Rfam family: Bacterial large subunit ribosomal RNA
Source: RNAcentral